GCAGAGGAUAAAAGCCCUGCCUCACCACCCCAAGAAGGGACAAGACUGAGAGGCCAGGCUAGCUUCAGAGUUCUCUGUGAUGUCAACUGAGACUGUGUAGGAACUAUCUCCUCUCUCUCCACAGCCCUCCUCCUUUGUUUUCCAUCUGCAAGCGCGCUCCCAAGUGCCUGCCUUCAGAAACGUCAUGGACAUUAACCUCCCUCUCCAAGUCUGCUUCUCAACCCAGGAAACUAAGAAAUAUUUUUGAAUGAGCGAGUGAAAGAAUGAAUAUGUCGCCUUUGAUAAGCUGGUGCUUUUGUCUGCCUGAACUGGCUGACAGUUUUACUAAAUACAGUACUAAGGAAUGUU
Molecule: long non-coding RNA, 348 nt
Organism: Sapajus apella (tufted capuchin)
Lineage: Eukaryota; Metazoa; Chordata; Mammalia; Primates; Cebidae
Exons: 2
Source: RefSeq, a predicted model, not a curated record